Molecule: ribosomal RNA, 246 nt
Filed under: uncultured bacterium
Lineage: Bacteria
Description: partial 16S ribosomal RNA
Rfam family: Bacterial small subunit ribosomal RNA
Source: RNAcentral
UACGUAGGGUGCGAGCGUUAAUCGGAAUUACUGGGCGUAAAGCGUGCGCCAGGCGGCGCGUUAAGACAGGUGUGAAAGCCCCCGAGCUUAACUUGGGAAUUGCGCCUUGUGACUGGCGUGCUGGAGUGUGGCAGAGGGGAGGUGGAAUUCCACGUGUAGCAGUGAAAAUGCGUAGAGAUGUGGGAGGAACACCGAUGGCGAAGGCAGCCCUCCCUGGGCCAGCACUGACGCUCAUGCACGAAAGCG